GCUCACUUCCUUGGCACUGUACUAAAAUCCAAUAAUACAGAGAUUAGCAUGGCCCUUAUGCAAGGAUGACAUGAAAAUUCACAAAACAUUCCAUAUUUUU
This 100-nucleotide small nuclear RNA is filed under the name Neotoma lepida (desert woodrat). The record is from RNAcentral. Lineage: Eukaryota; Metazoa; Chordata; Mammalia; Rodentia; Cricetidae.